CCUGCCUCCCAGGAAGUCCGAGAGAGGUGAGCACCUCCUGUGAAAGGCCUCAGCAACCCUAGCCCCUGGACCUGUCACUAGGCUGCUCUCGAUGCCAACUCCCCUCUUGAAAGACUUCCUAAACAACACCAUCGCACUUUCCUACAAAGCACACGGCGUCAGAAAAGGAAACUUGAAAAAUUCAGCCAUCUUAGCCUUCCCUGGAAACAACCGCUCUUCUGGAGAGCCUCAGGGUAACCCAGGAGCCUGGACUCUGAAAGCCCCUACCAUGCGGAAGAAGUGUUAGCAAAUGGGCUUCUUUCAGUACAAGAGGAAAAGCCAUUUGCACACGCAGCCCAGCUCAGUGACUUCAUGGCAAAGGGAGCUGGAGGCCCUGAUGAGGCUGCCUGGUGUGCGGUGUCAUGUCAAUAAAUACCUGAGACUUCCCAAGAGCCACAGAGAGCAGCGAACAGAAAAGAGUUAGCAAGGUCUGCCAACACAGCUCUCUGGAGCCAUCCUACUGAUUCGCUUGGGAAUGCCCACAGCUUCACAAAGCAGAUGUGGCUCAAUGAAAUGCCCACUUCAGGCUCAAUGGCAGGAAAGCGGCUCCCCCCGCCACAUCAAUCUCCAGCAGGUCAAGUCACCUCCUCCGCUGUCCGCCAGGACGAGAGGGUGGGCUCUGCCGCAGGAGACCUGUAGCACCUGUGUCUCCUGAGGUCUGUCCAGAGGUAGUGGGAUGGGUGAGGGCUCCAAAACAUCCUCCUAUCCCCUUGCUGAAACCACCACCAUCAGGGUCAGUGCAUUGACAGAGGAUCAUAGCAUUUGUAACACUAAAGGUCAUACUGCCUGACCCCCACGUUGUUACCCAGUCAGAGAUCAGAAUGACUUCCUCAAGGCACGUAAGUUAGAGGCUGAGCAAGGACUAGAAAGCCGGUCUCCAGCUCCAGCACACUGCACCACAUCACCUCCAUGACACAGUGACUUAUUGAAAAUCAUCCUUAGUCAGUAAAGAAAGCUUCUCCCAUGUCAUUUAAUACCACUUGAAUUUUUCAGGAAAGGAAAUGCAUUUUCUUCCUGCAACAUCCACUCCGAUUCCUCAGGAAGGUGAAGAACAGCAUGUUAUAUGACACCACUUAACUGAAAAGGAGACCAAAAGAAUACGCAGAUGCAUUCCUUUGCAGAUGCAUUAAAUCUCUUUAGAAGGACAAACUGAAAACUCUUAACACAGGCUGUCCACAGGGAAAAAAAGUCAUGAUGCUGGGAGGACAGAGGUGGAAGGCAGACUUUUCAUCACAUCUUCUACUGCACCUUAAGGAUUCCAAAUUAUGCAAAUAGGUUAUCUAUUAAAAAAACACAAUUUCAAUAUUUAAAUAAGCAAGUAAGGAGGAAAAAUGUUUAGAAGUCACUCUAAAGAAGAACCUUAUUGUUCUUUAAAACCCUACUGGAGAAGCCAGGCUGGUCUUCAUAAGGAAUUCCUCUCCUAAGUUGGUUGUUUGCUUGUUUGCUUGUUUGUUCGUUGUGCUGAGGAAGAUUCAUCAUGAUCUAACAUCUGCUGCCAAUCUUCGUCCUCUUUUUUGCUGAGGUAGAUUUAGGCUGAGCUAAUAUCUAUGGCCAAUCUUCUACUCUUUUGUAGGUGAGCCGCCGCCACAGCAUGGCCACCAGUGAGCGGUGCAGGUCUGCACCCAGGAACUGAACUCAGGUCACCAAAGCAGAGCACACCAAACUUAACCACUAGGCCACUGGGGCUCACUCCCUCACACAGGUUUUAAACGAUGAGGUUUUGAGUAUUCACAAUGGAGGCUGGAGGUUAGGAGAAGAUCUGCAAAUACACUAGUUCUCAACCUACUCCCCACUAAUGAUCCCCUAUUUUCUCCCAGGAACCCCAUGUUUAACAAGAUUUUCCCCACCAAAUAAACAGCAUUAUUACUAUUAUAUACACUUGCCCAUUAGUAUCCAUGAGUGACUGACAUAAUUUCAGACAGAGCUUUGAUCUGCAUCAAAUAACUGGUUUUUUAUAAUGAGAUGAUGUGAUUCUAGGCAAAAUCAAAGAAACUGGAAAAUGAUGUUAGCCUAUACAGCCCUAUAAGCUGAAAACGCAGAAUACUUCAAAAUACUGAAAAGUGACUCACAUCCCCCAUUACCACCUGCACAGACCCCUAAGGGCCUGGCAAGCAGUAAAGACAUAACAUUGAAAGGGAAUCUGGCUCUAGGUCCAACUACUAAUUGACAGGAAAUACAGACGACAGAGGAUCAUGUCAAAUGGCACAACACGGAUGCAUUCAACAAACUCCAGACUGGAAAACUGUAUAGAAUAAACAAUGUGAUUUCAUCAAUAAAUAAAUUUCAAGGAGGAAACAUUGAAAGAGACUUAAAAGACUUUUAAAAGUCUUAUCAACCAAUUGCAAUGUCUGCACAUUAUCUGGAUCUUGAUUGAAGAAAACGUUUUAAAUAAAAUAAAAAUCUUAGGACAUUUAUGAGACAACCGGCAAUGUGAACACUGACUGGAUAUUUGAUAUGAAGGGACUAUACUCUUAAUUUUUAGGUGCAAUAAUGAUGUUGCAUUUAUCUUCUUUUUUUUGAGGCCAUAUUUUUUAAGAUACACACUGAAAUAUUUAUGAACAAAAAUCAAUGACGUUAGUAUUUGCUCCAAAUUUAUCAGGGGGAAGGUGGGGAAAUGGAUAAAACAAGCCUGGCCUGAGCUGAUGAUGGCUGAAGCUGGUGACGGUCCGUGGGAUGCAUUAUCGUAUUCUGUCCAAGUCUGUAUAUGCCUACAACUGUUCCUAAUGAAACGGAUAAAGAAACAUAAUGUGGCAUCUCACAGCCCAGAGAGAGUUCAAUACUAAGGAUAAACGAAUUCUGAUAUAAAACGAAGUGAAAAAAGGCAGAAAAUAAAACAUAUGCUAUGAUCAGAAUUACAUAAAAAACAUAUUUGCAAAUGAAUGAGGGAACAAGAGAAAAAUGAAAAGAAAGGUUUGUCUAGUAUAUAUUUCUGGGUAAUUUCCCCUUUAUUUUAAAAAACGUUUCUUAUUGUACUUAUAAUAUGGAUGGACUAAUGUCCAUUUUUUGAAAAGCCAUCAUAAAUCACUUCUAGCAUUACUGCAAUCCAAUUUCAAAUAUCUGGAAUACAUCUAUCUAAGAUAGAAUAUCUCUAUCUUAAGGAUUUCACUGAAUUUUCCCCAGAACACAUUCUAGGCUCUGCAGAGUGUUUCAGGCUAUCUCCAAGCUAGGAAAGAAUGGUCGUCUCUCUGGGGCCAAAAGACAACAUCUUUCUUAUCACGAAACGCCCUUUUGUCUAAAGGUUCACAGUUAUCACCAAACAGGCUGAAAAAUAAUCUAGUCCAGAGAGUUUCAAGCAACGCGCCCUUACAGCCUCCUUCUGUGUUGUUGUUCUGGUUUGGUUUAUGUCAUCAGAUUCCUGAAAGUCAGAGAGAGCUUUCUCAGCCCAAUCACAGCAGAGAAAGCCAAGGGGAGAGCACACACUUCUCUCUUUCUGGCUCCUGUGAAAUCUAAGCUGAGAACCUUUGAGUCCCAUUCCCCAAACUUUCGUCACAUCCUUGGUUUUAGAGGACAGCAGCAUGAAUCCAUAGCCACAGGCGGCAGAGGAAAUCUGAAAAAGAGUUCCCAGAAAGUAUCAUACUGCUUGGCGACGUCAAGUGUUUCCAGCAAGAAACGGCAGCUUGUUGACCCAUUCCAAGAGCAGACACUAUUAACACAGCAACUAACACCACAGAAUGUUUACUAUGUGCUAAGUGUCUGAGAGGCACUAUCUCAUUUCACCUGCACAUUCACCCAGUGAUCUAAGUGUCAUAUCCUCCCCACUCAGCAAGACACAGGCUCACAGAGCAGUUCAGCUGAAGACCCCCCUAGUUUGAAUCUUGACAACACCAUGGGACCUACAGCUGUUAGACCCUUACCAGCUGUGUGACCUAGGUAGACUGCUUAACCUCUCUGUGUCUGUUUCCCUGUAUGUGAAAUGGAGAUGACAGCAGCAUCUCUCUUAUUGGGUUGUUCCGAGAACUAAAUGAGUCAAGAGAGCUAAAGCCCCUGGGGUAAAUAGUACGUGACGUAACAUAAGAGUGACGGGAUGUACUCAAUAUUAUCACUGGUGGUGAUAAUAAACAAAAGCCAACAAAAUUGGAAAUGAACAUGUAAAACUGUCUUUAUUCACAGACAACCAGAGAGCAUGAUCCUAUAUGUAGAAAUUCCUAAGGAAUACACAAAAAUCUACAGAAAUAAACAAGUUCAGCAAAGUCACAAGAGAAAAGGUGAAUACAAACACCAACUGUAUUUCUACAAACUAAGAAUGAACACUCCAACAGUUAAAUUAAAAAUACAAUUUAUUCAAAAUACCUCAAAAAGAAUAAAAUGCUUAGGAAUAAAUUUAACAAUACAAAUCUAAGAGUUGUAUACUGAAAAUUACAAAACACAGUUGAGAAAAAUUAAACACUACUUGAAUGGGGAGAUUUUCCAUGUUCAUAGACUGAAAGACUCACAAUUGUUUAGAUGGCAUUUGUGCCAAAAUGCAUCUACAGAUUCAACACAAUCUCUAUUAAAAUCCGGAAAGAAUUUUUGCAGAAAGUGACAAGCUAAUCCUAAAAUUUGUAUGGAAAAGCAAGACUCAGAAUAGUGAAAACAAUUUCCAAAAACAAGGACCAGCUGGAGGACUUCUAUUUCCCAAAUUCAAAACUUCUGAUAAAGCUACAGUAAUCAAGAGAGUGUAAUCUUAGCAUAAGGACAAACAUAUCGAUCAACGCAACAGAACUGAGCGGUCUCAAAUCAAUCCUUAGUUUUACAGCCAACUGAUUCCAACAAACGCACUAAGACAAUUCAACAAGGAAAGGAUAGUCUUUCAACUAAUGAUCCUAGGACAACCGGCUAUCCACAGGAAAAAGGGCCAUAACACACCAUACACAAAAAUCAACUCAAGUGGCUGGCUCAUAGACCUAAACACAAGACCUAAAACUAUGAAGCUCCUAGAAGAAAACAUGGGAAGAAUAUGUUUGCGAUGUCGGGUUAGGCAAAGAUUUCUUAGAUAUACCGAAAGCACAAUCCAGGGCAGAAAAGCCAUCAAUUGAAUUCCAUUAAAAUUAAAAAAUUUUGCUCUUCAAAGGACACUCUCAAGAAAAUACAAAGAAAAGCAGUAGAUUGGCAGAAAAUACUUGCACAUAUCCUACAUGUCAUAAAGUACCUGCAUCCAUCUGGAACACAUAAAUCACCGUUACAACUCCCUAUUAAGAAGGAAACAACUCAACUUUUCAUUCAUUUGGAGCUUGAACUCCUGUUUCUCUUGCUCUCGCCCCUUUUCAGUUAAAGAUCACUCCUCACCCUUGGCAGAGAAGGCGGAAACCAAACUGGGCCGAUCCGCUCCUUCUUCAUCGGCCACCAAGGCUUCCAGAACCGGCGCCAAGGAGAACCCGUCCUGACACAUUUUCGCUCUUCCGAGCGUCGGCUCCCAGAUGAGCCGCCCCGGGGAGCCGCCCUCUGCUGCCGUCUUCUCAAACCUGAGGCAACGCAGAGGCCUGCAGUGCAGCCAUUCGAGUGCGUUCGGACCUUCGCUCCUUCCUCUCUCACCCCUGCACCCGCUCGGGCGACACGUCCUUUCCCAGCUGCUCAGCGACUCCAGCCGGCCCACGGCUUCCCUGACCUUUGGCAGCCGCCCUUCCGAACAGCAGAACUUCAGGAGUCAGACGGCCCGAGUGCGGAGCCCACUGUGCGUCCGCCUGCCAGCUGUGGGGCCGGGGCCUGUCCCUUGACGUCUCUGAGCCUCCCUCUCCUCCCUCAACUGUGGUGACAACCCCGACCCCCGGGGGAGGAGCAGAUGCCCAGCCGCUCCAUCACUGUGGGCAGCGCGCCAACCGCCUUCCCUUCCGGGGCCUUCAGCCGCCGGAGAGGCGUCUGCCCGGAAGCUGACCCCGUGCCUCGCAGCUUCUCCAAGAGACCGAGGACCCGGGGAGCAGCGGCGGAGGCGAGGGCGGACGGAGGGAGGAAGGCGCCGCCCGGAUCUUCGGCUCCGGCUCCAUUCGGGAGGGCACUGGAGGGGGCCUGCGGCGCGGCCGCGAGCCGGCGGGGCUCGGCCCGGAGCUGGGCCGCACGAAGGGGGCCCGUCCGGUGCCAGAGAGGCUGAAGUCGCAGGAACAUGCGCUCGGCGCGGGCCGCGCGCGCCCACCUACCGGACCACGGGCGCGGCCGCCUCCCGCGGGCUCCGCGAGCGCCCGGCCGCCGUCCAUGGCCCCCGCCUCGGGCCCGAAGCUCAGCCGGCGCCCCAGACGAGGCCCCGCCGCCCGCUCCAUUCCCCUCCUCACGCCUCAGCUGCUGCUGGGCGCCGCCAUCAUAGAGGGUGAUCGCGGACUACGGACUGAUGAGACGAGGUAUCUAGGGGACUGUCGUCCAAGGCCGCCAACUCCAGGGAAUGUCAGGAAACAAAGACAGAGCCAGAGAAAGAGGACUUCCUUCCUGGUUGCGGGUGCACGAAUGGCUUCUCCAGCACCAGACUCCUGCCCUAGUGCUCGCCCACAGCACAGAGCCGCCAACAGCUUCCUCCAGCAGCCCCCUCAGGCAAGGCCCUAGCUGAACGCCUCCCAUAAGGUCCCUCCCCUCGAACGCCUUUCUCGGCCCCAAAAGGGUGGAUUUCCAUAAAGUUCCAGAGUGCACCUUUCCUGUGAAUUUGUGGAUUUUUAUAUUAAACUUUC
This 6668-nucleotide long non-coding RNA is filed under the name Equus caballus (horse). RNAcentral describes it as "lncRNA (ENSECAG00000052047.1)". The record is from RNAcentral. Lineage: Eukaryota; Metazoa; Chordata; Mammalia; Perissodactyla; Equidae.